ACUACACUAGGGGCUGGUUAACGCUCCUGUGUGCAACAGAACCUCAAACACACCAUAACACACCUUUGGAGAAUCCUUACAAGAAUGUCAAGUUAACAAUUAUCUCUCACCACACUACCUCAGCAAAAAACUAAGAAGAAAAAAAUAAAAUAUUCUUCAACCCUUUUCAGGGACAGAAAGCAUCACUUCAAAAGUCCAAGAAGGGGAGCAAAACUCCUGACCUGAGACAUGGAAGCAUAUAAAAAGCCUCUAAGUAAAAUGUAUCGCUACAGCUAGAGGGCAGUUUUGCCUUUCUUCCAUUCAAUUACUCAGUCUCUCAUGUUCCUAAAUGCCAGCCCAGAACCAUGGAACCUGAAGAAACACAAAACGCACUCCUCUGCAUCAGUGAAUUGAUUGUGUGGUGGGGAUAUAAGUCUGCAUGUGACUGACAGGUCCCCAACGUGGUGCCAAGUCAAUCUAAACUAGAGAGAAUUUCUGGUCAGGCCAAGCAGAGAUUUCCUGGAUGAAGUCUCCCAAAGAUUGAUUUCCUAUACAUUAAACAUCACUGGUUUUCCAAAACUGGUUUUCUUUCUUUUUUUUUUUUUUUUUAAAACCCUGUUGCCCAGGCUGGAGGGCAAGUGGUGCCAUCUCCAUUCACUGCAGCCUCGACCUCCCAGCUCCACUGAUCUCCCCACCUCAGCCUCCUGAGGAGCUGGGACUACAGGUGUGCAUGGCCACGACUGGCUAAUUUUUCUACUUUUUGUAGAGAUGGGGUUUUGCUGUGUUACUCAGGCUGGUGAUGCGAUCUGCCCACCUGGGCCUCGCAGAGUGCUGGGAUUACAGGUGUGAGCCACCACACCCAGCCUACUGGUUUCCUUUACACCCGUUCUUUUCCCCCAUCAGUCCUUAUGAGGGCACCUGAAACAAGGAACCGCCCCCCUGACUUGAGAGCUGCAAAGCCUUGAGAGAGAACUUAGUUAUUAAAACCCACCCCACACAAAAUGCUUCUAAACGCCUUGGCUGACUUAAUCCUCGCAAUGUGCUGAGGUUAAGUAUGAUUCUCCAUCUCCUGUGAACAGGAAAACUGAGGUUCAGAGGUUAACUGAUUUGCCCACGGUUCACUGCAUGGGAUAAAACUCGGCUGUCCCUGACAGGUCCCAAAGUCACGGCCUUCAGGCUCCCACAUCAUGCUGCCUCCCUCACCGGGGCUCCACACUCUCAGCCUGGAAAACAUGAAUUUUAAGAAAACCAUGACUUACGAAAAGCAGCCAGUCCCAGCUUUGGACCCAACAGGGCAUAAUUCCAUCUGCUUCCAUCACCACCAUCCGCCCUGGAAUUAGGCCGGAUAUUCCAGUUUGGGGGAUCAUUGAGGUUAUUCAUGGAGAUACACCUUGAAGUAAAGAAUAAAAACGUUAACUAGUUUUAUUCAAGAAAUGUUUUUCAGUUUUAACUAUGUGCUGCACAGCACUGAGGCCCUACGGGAUUCAAAGAAGGAAAAAACAAGACCAGGGUCGGGCAUGGUGGCACACACCUGUGGUCCCAGCUACUCGGGAGGCUGAGGCAGGAGAAUCGCUUGAACCCGGGAGGUGGAGGUUGCAGUGAGCCAAGGUCACACCACUGCACUCCAGCCUGGUGACAGAACGAGACUCCGUCUCAAAAA
Long non-coding RNA from Mandrillus leucophaeus (drill), 1639 nucleotides. RefSeq lists it as uncharacterized. NCBI's taxonomy places the organism in Eukaryota, Metazoa, Chordata, Mammalia, Primates, Cercopithecidae. The transcript has 3 exons. The record is from RefSeq and is a predicted model, not a curated record.